GACGAACGCUGGCGGCGUGCUUAACACAUGCAAGUCGAACGGAAAGGCCCUGCUUUUGUGGGGUGCUCGAGUGGCGAACGGGUGAGUAACACGUGAGUAACCUGCACUUGACUUUGGGAUAACUUCAGGAAACUGGGGCUAAUACCGGAUAGGAGCUCCUGCUGCAUGGUGGGGGUUGGAAAGUUUCGGCGGUUGGGGAUGGACUCGCGGCUUAUCAGCUUGUUGGUGGGGUAGUGGCUUACCAAGGCUUUGACGGGUAGCCGGCCUGAGAGGGUGACCGGCCACAUUGGUCCUGAGGUACGGCCCAGACUCCUACGGGAGGCAGCAGGGGGGAAUAUUGCACAAUGGGCGGGAGCCUGAUGCAGCGACGCCGCGUGCGGGAUGACGUCUUUCGGGUUGUGAACCGCUUUCGCCUGUGACGAAGCGUGAGUGACGGUAAUGGGUAAAGAAGCACCGGCUAACUACGUG
RNAcentral lists this ribosomal RNA (468 nucleotides) under uncultured bacterium. RNAcentral describes it as "partial 16S ribosomal RNA". It matches the Rfam family "Bacterial small subunit ribosomal RNA", at positions 28 to 507 of the family's 1533-position model. The record is from RNAcentral.